This 77-nucleotide transfer RNA is filed under the name Priestia megaterium. RNAcentral's name for it is "Bacillus megaterium tRNA-Met". It matches the Rfam family "tRNA". From Rfam's summary of the family: Transfer RNA (tRNA) molecules are approximately 80 nucleotides in length. Their secondary structure includes four short double-helical elements and three loops (D, anti-codon, and T loops). The record is from RNAcentral. Lineage: Bacteria; Bacillati; Bacillota; Bacilli; Caryophanales; Bacillaceae. RNAcentral also lists the same sequence under 25 other names.
GGCGGUGUAGCUCAGCUGGCUAGAGCGUUCGGUUCAUACCCGAAAGGUCGGGGGUUCGACUCCCUUCGCCGCUACCA